UUUCUUUGUGAGUCUACUUGGUGGCCAGCAGUUGCUGUUUCUUCUAGGUAAGAUCAUCAGGAGCAGUUUCCAAGGAGACUACCUCCUUGUGGGUUGAAUCUUCAGCAGGUGCAUAUUAGCUCAUUUCCAGCGAAGUCUGCAGGCAGAAAAUCAACUCUGCUCUUGCCUGACCUUCUCACCUGCUUCCCGUUUUAUCCUCUCAUGGAUGCAACUUUCCCUGUAGGAAAAAGAGAUGGAAAUACACAAGAGGUUGGAUAUGUAAAUAACUUUUCCUGACUUUACCUGACACAUUUCAAAUUUGGCUCUUUGCAAUUCAAUACAGUGUCACACUUGGUGCGUGCCAGCUUUGCAUCUGAAGUUAAAGAGCCAGGGAACUGCACCAGAUCAGACCUCCGAGGAAGAAGCUUUUGCAGGAAUCCAUGACCACACAGAAGGAAAACGGAGACAGCAACCUUGUCUCCCAAAGGUGUUGUGGGAUUUCUCACCUGAAAAUCCUGCUUGCACGGCUGCUUCAUUCCGCUGGUUUCCCAGAUCAGUGCUGUACCUUCCUGAUUUGCUGUAGAAGGAUUGCCAUCUCAGCUCGUCUGCACUGCUUAAAGGUGAUGAACAAGAAAAUCCUGAACACCCAACUAAGGCUAUGGUCUGGGUCCAGCAAGAGAGCAGCAUGUAUAUCAGCACCCAAAGUUUUGACUGUAUCUGCUCAGAAGAGUUAAAGACCUUUAUAUCUCAAACUGAAUUUUUCCAGUUUCUGAUAUCUCUGAAACAAGGACUUUUGCUCUAAACAUCGCCUCAAAUGCCAUAUUGUGCACAGCAGUGUGAUUACAAUGAACAAGAACUAGGAGAUCCUAAAACGCGGUGACAGUCCCUAACAUGCCUAAUUGUGUUCUAGCUCAUAUAGUUCGGUAGAGAGGACCAUCCACAGUUCAUAACAGCCAUAAUGGAAAAUUGUAUGGGCCACUCUAGCUAGGCAUAAUUGGGUGGGCCAGAGAUCAUGUUUUCCAACUUUUGGAGCUGUUUAUUUGACCUGUUUUAAUUUAGCUGAGAUGGAAUAAUAUGUUUCUUAAGGAAAUAUUUAGGCAUGAAAACUUUUUAGCUUAAUAAAUCUCAUCUU
Molecule: long non-coding RNA, 1111 nt
Organism: Gallus gallus (chicken)
Lineage: Eukaryota; Metazoa; Chordata; Aves; Galliformes; Phasianidae
Source: Ensembl